This 279-nucleotide long non-coding RNA is filed under the name Vigna radiata. RNAcentral's name for it is "long non-coding RNA (VRAD_LNC009185)". Lineage: Eukaryota; Viridiplantae; Streptophyta; Magnoliopsida; Fabales; Fabaceae. The record is from RNAcentral.
CCCGAUGCAGCUCCGGAUGGGCGAUGGGGGGUGGCGUUGUGUACUUGUCCUGAUAAGCUUCCUAGAUAGCGAGUAGUGGGGGGCAACAAUGCACAUUAGGAGAAUGUGUAACAACCCUGAUAAGCUCACUAGAUGAGAGGUGAGAGUUGUCUUGAUAAGCUCUUUGAGUGGUGGGAAUUGCCCUGAUAAUCUCUCUAGGCGAGUGGUGGGAAGUAACAUGGUUAAAUGGUUCGGAAAUGUACUUGCCUGGAGAAACUCUUGAAUAGAGUGGUGGUUGGC